AUUGAACGCUGGCGGCAGGCCUAACACAUGCAAGUCGAGCGAGCGGCGGCCGGGUUAGUAAUGUCUGGGAAUCUUCCCGAUGGAGGAGGAUACCUACUGGAAACGGUAGCUACUACCGCAUACUAUCAGAUAGGCCCAUAUGGGAUUAGCUAGUAGGUGGGGUAAAGGCUCACCUAGGCGACGAUCCCUAGCUGGUCUGAGAGGAUGAUCAGCCACACUGGAACUGAGACAAGGUCCAGACUCCUACGGGAGGCAGCAGUGGGGAAUAUUGCACAAUGGGCGAAAGCCUGAUGCAGCCAUGCCGCGUGUAGGAAGAAGGCCUUCGGGUUGUAAAGCACUUUAAGUGGGGAGGCGUUACCCGCAGAAGAAGCACCGGCUAACUCCGUGCCAGCAGCCGCGGUAAUAC
This 406-nucleotide ribosomal RNA is filed under the name uncultured bacterium. Its description in RNAcentral is "partial 16S ribosomal RNA". It matches the Rfam family "Bacterial small subunit ribosomal RNA", at positions 30 to 526 of the family's 1533-position model. The record is from RNAcentral.